RNAcentral lists this long non-coding RNA (5358 nucleotides) under Trifolium pratense (red clover). RNAcentral's name for it is "long non-coding RNA (TPRA_LNC006718)". The record is from RNAcentral. Lineage: Eukaryota; Viridiplantae; Streptophyta; Magnoliopsida; Fabales; Fabaceae.
UGCUUUUGAAUCGUGCACUAUAAAGGAAAGGGUGAAAAUAAGGCAACACCAAUAGAAUGUGCUUAAUCUCUAUUUAAUUAAUAUAUAAGUUGAGACAAUAUACAAAAAAAAAUGCAAUGUACAUACUUUAAUAGUACACGAUACAAUAGAAAUUGAGAUAAAUAUAUCAUGAAUAUACAAUAGAAAUUGUGUCUAUCCUAGUUGCACUCAGGCUUUAGCUAAUCUUCCACAAACUCUAGAGUUUCCUUGUAGUUGGAGAACUGGUACAAUAUCAAGCUCGUGUUGAGCUUUUCUGCUUGUAUAUGGCACAUUAUGUGCACUAAUUACUUGGUAUUGGAUAUAAAGUCCUGACCUAUUUAAUCUCAUGCUUCAUGUGUUACCUAAAAUUNNNNNNNNNNNNNNNNNNNNNNNNNNNNNNNNNNNNNNNNNNNNNNNNNNNNNNUUGCUCACCUAAAAUCACUCUUUAAGGUCGCAGUCCCGUUGUCGAGAUGAACUAAAUAAUAAAUUUCAAGCUUGAUAUUGAAAGCUACUCCCAUAUUUCCCUUCAGCGUGUAUACACUUUAACCAAUAGAUCUUGAAAGACAUCAACAACUGUUGAACCUCGCAAUACAACAUUGUGAAAUCAAAGAGUACACACAUUAAAUUAUGGAGACUUUAAGUAACUAAAAAAUCUAAUAUGCCUCUUUGGAAUAUUGGCAGGAUCUUCCUUUAUAACCUUCGCCUAUGAAAUAAUCAUCUAUUUUGUACCCCCCCAUUGCAUUGCAUUACACUGUCCACUAUACCAUAUUUAAAAAAAUAGAAUUUAAAAUAUUUGAUCGGAUACAUCAAAUAUGGAAGUCUCCACUUUGAAUUUGGUGCCUCUGGCAGCUUGAACUUGAAGGUGUGCCAUGUGUUACCUGCAAUGAUGUGUCCAUUUACAAACAUAGUUAGCCACAACUCUCAACCUCACCAUUGAAAGUUAAAAUGUUUAUUAAAGUUAAAAGUUAAAAUGUUUAAUCAAGAAACAUACAUACAUGCUUAUUAUAGUUGCAGCCACAUGAUUAUGUGGUUAAAAAUUAUGCAGGCUGGAUCUUGGAGUUAUAACAGAACUGAAAAGUGGUUCCAAGUGCUCUUUAAUUUGUAAAAACAUUUUCAAAGUUAAUUCAAGAAUAUUACUUUCAUCAAAGAGAAUGAAACAAUGGUAACACUUUCUCAGCCCUGUCAUAAACAAUCCAGUUUAGAAUACAAUCUAAAAGGCUCAUUGACAUUAUGUAAGUGCUCACAUCCAAAUCCAUCAAAUUUCAUUCAAGCACUUUCCACAUUUUCAUUUACUGUUGCCCAAUUUAUGAUCUUUUUUUUCAUAUCAGAAAACUGAUAAUUGAAUGCCCAAUAAUUUCAAGAAACUAAAAAUUAGGUAAAUAAUCUUUUUACUUGAUAAUAGAUUAGGGAAAUCUCCGAAUAAUGUAGAGAAGUUCAAAAAACCAUUCCAGGAUCAACAAAAAUGAACUUAGAAAAGAGGACUCGCCCAUUUAAGAACCACCAAAAUCAUUACCAAAUCCUCAUUUACAAAUUAAGACAUCGGCAACUGCAACAUACAGAGCAACAUAGCAUCAAUGAGAUUGGUAGCAGAAUCAAAUCAAACAAAUAAAGAACCAUAGAAAGCUUAAUAAUCACUAUAUAAGCACUUUGGCUUUUAUGUUCCAACACUAUUUACUUGAUUGCUUGCAAAGUGAAGUCUUUCUUUUAAGUGAGGCCUUAAAUAUUCAAAGUGAAAAAAUCAUUCAUAAAUUUAUAAGAAAGCGAAAGUUAUAGAAAUAUUCAUAAACUAAAAAAUAAUAUAAGAAUUAGUUUUUGCAUCAAUCAACAUUUCAUAUAAUAUAUAUGCAUAAAUUGUGAUCCAAUGAAUCACCAAUAAAAAUCACAAUGCAACUUCGUAAAAGUAAUCAACAGUUACAACAUAACUACAUGUCUUUUCUCAAUGCAUAUUUAUCUCAUGAAUGACCAUUAACUUAAACAGAAUAAAAAAUCACAACUUUGAUUUAUAGUUAAAUAGUUAAAUUCAUAUGAAUGAAAGAUCUAUAUAAUUGAUGUACGAUAAGAAACUAAUAGAAGUUGGAAUCAGCAUGUUUCUUUCAAUGUGGUCAUGUUAUAAGUAGGUAAUUACCUUGAUUAAAAACUAUACCAUAAACAGAUUAGUGGAAAGUACACACACUUCUUUGAUAUAACUUUUUUAAGCUUGUGUAUUAAAAUAAUGAACAAAGUGAAAGCAUUAGACACUUCCAUCUGCACAUGAAUUAGAAGCAUUUCAGAGGCAAAGGUUUCAAAAUAAAUAAGGAACCAUAAAUAUAUUAUAAGCAUAAGUCUAUAACCUUACUUUUGAGAAGCAUGCAAUUCCUCAAAAUUAGGACCUCGAGCAAAUUUCUACCAAUGCAGCUGCCAAGUUUCCUGAGAGAAGAAUUCAACUAACAAAUUUAGGACCAGUAUAAGAAAGAAACACACUACUAUAAGAACUCAGCAGACCACCUCUAAAAGAAGCUUCAUGUAAAUAACAAAUCAAAAUAAGAAAAACAUAUAGUAGUUAUCAAACUCUAAUUCUAAAACAAAAAAGUAAAGCCAAAGAAAUACAAAAUUAGGGAUUAGAAAUACAAAUGAAAUAAAAUAGAUGGCUAUUAAAAAUUAGGUAUUUUGAAAAAGAAAGAGUAUACCCAGAAUCAAACAAUAACAUUGUCGUCGUUGGGCCGUGUGCUCUGCUUCAUCGAUCUUUGUCGUCGUUGGGUUUGUGAACCUGAACAAACAAUAACAUUCCCAAAAAAAAAAUUAAAAAUCAGAAUAUGAAAUUAAAUCAUGAAAUAAGGAAGGGAUUGAGAAGCAAGUUAAAACCUUUCUUAUUGACAAAGCUGAAGAAGCAUAUACCCAAAAUUUGAGGAAAAAAGUUGACAACAUAGAAAACCAUAUCAAAAACACGACAAAGAUAAACGUUGUUUUUGAAAAAUUUUGGAGGGGUUUUUGAAAUUUGAAAGCAUGAUGCAUUAGUCAAAGUUUGCAGAGAACACUUAGUUUUUCACCAAAAUGGAAGUUUUUGUUGAAGAUGGAGAGAAAGAAGACAUCAACAAAGCAGAAAGGGAAGAGAAAGAUUCUUUCCUUUUUCUUUUUUUAAAUUUUUUUUCUUUCUUUUUUCUGUUAUAUUGAAUUUUAAAAUUUGCAAAAUACAUUCAAUCAAACUAACUUAUUACUUAUAAAAAAGUUUAUAGAUAUAGAUUGAAUCUGAAAUAAAAAUUUUGAAAUAAAAAAUCUUAUUAAAAGUAAUAGUAUAUCGGUUUGGUUUUCUCCUCAAUUAAAGUUUACAAAUACUAAAUAAAACAAAUUAAAAUUGAUAUAAAUCUAAAAAAAAAAAUCUGAAAUUUAACAAAAUCAAUCAUAUUAUUGCGGUGGAGAAAAAAAUCCCACUAAAAACUCCUAAAAAGUAGGGAUUAUUAGCUAAAAGAUAAAAACAAAUCCUAAUAAAUAUGACAACUAAACAACAAUAUUUUUUAAAAAAUAGAAAGAGGCAAAUAGAAAAAUAUGCUAAUCUAAAUUGAUAAGGAAAAACUUUUCACGNNNNNNNNNNNNNNNNNNNNNNNNNNNNNNNNNNNNNNNNNNNNNNNNNNNNNNNNNNNNNNNNNNNNNNNNNNNNNNNNNNNNNNNNNNNNNNNNNNNNNNNNACAGAAAUGCCCCUGUUGCUCUAUUCUUUCAAAAAUUAAAAGAAUGGGUAUUUUGGUCCAAUUGAAAAGGUGCACCUUGCUAACUUAGAACUAACUAGGGUCUAAGUUAGAAAACCCUAUAUAUAUAUAUAUAUAGGUGGAUUCUAAGGUGAGGGAGCAACCAAGUCCCUCACCGAUGUACCACGUCAUUUCACCAUUGGAUUAAAUAGUCCAUUUUUUCAUUAUCACACUGGAUCUUAUAGUUUUUUUUUUAUAAAAAUAAAUAAAUAAAUAAUCAAAUAAAAUCUUAUAUAUCCUCUCUGCGACAUUACAAAUUCUUUUUCUCCACCCAAAUUCUUUCUUCCUCACCGGUGUUAAAUGUGUCUUUAAUAAUUAGGGUUCUUUUAUCUAUACAAAAUUGAAUUCCUUGCAUUAUUAACAUAGUUUAUUUGAACAAAAAUGGUAGACCAAAAUUCCCCCAAAACUAAAGUAAAGCUUUCCGUGAAUUUGGAUUGGAAAUAUUAAAAAAUAAACGCACAAAAGAAUUAGAUCUUUCGGCAAUGAAGAUUGAACAUUUAUUUAUGAUGAAUUAUUAGACUUCAGACUUGGUGUUGAUGAUUGUAUAUUGAAAAGGAUAUAAGAGAAGGUUCAACAAAACGAGUUUCUAUGUGAGGAAAAAAAAAUCGGUUUUGAAUUUUCUCUGUGUCUAUCAACGUUCAAGCAAAUAUCAGAUAAACAAGUUUUGUUGAGAAAUUCAACAAAACCCAGAUUCCGUUUUCAAUUUUAAAGAAAACUAAAUAUAUUCAUACAAGUCCAAACAAACGCCCUUACGCAGAUCAAAUUGAAAUAGAAAUUGAAUAACCAAACCAUAAUGUUUACAUUCACUUGAAAUCAAUGUGUGGAAGACACAUUAAUGAGAAAUACCGAUUUUCAAUUGCAAAGGCUGUCAAAUCUGAUGGAGAAGAAAGAGUGUGGAUGCAAGAUUCAGUGCAGCGGUGACUAAUAUAAUCAUGUGGGCUUUUUUAAUCUAACGGUCAAUAUUGGUGGUGCACCGGUGAGGGACUUAAUUGAGCCCUCACCCUAGAAUCCACCAUGAAAUGAAAUCAUGAAAUAAGGAAGGAAUUAUUUCAAUUAUAUCUUCAUUGGUUUCACAUACCUUGCUUUUUGAGAAGCCCUUUGAACAUUCCUUUAUGAGAUACCUGCAUAUCACUUGACCAAAGAAAACAUAGAACUCAUUAAACAGAACAAUUGUGUGAAACCCAUGAAAUUCAAAGCCAAGAAAAAUAAUACCUGUGUGCUCUGCUUCAUCGAUCUUUGUCGUCCCUGGGUUUGUAAAUCUGAACAAACAAUAACAUUAAAAAAAAAUCAGAAUAUGAAAUGAAAUCAUGAAAUAAGGAAGGGUGACAAAGCUGAAGAAGCAUAUCCCAACCAUUAAAUUUGAGAAAGAAGAAUAGCAGAGGGAGAGAGAGAGUCCGAAAAAAGAGAGAAGUAGGAUUCAAAAUUUGAAUUGAGUUCUGGAAGAGGGGGAAAUGAGCUGUGUUUUCUUUCAAAGUGUGAUGUGAACAGAGAUGAAGAGAGGGAUAUUUAUUUGUUUGAGAAAUAAUGAAAGCCAAAGUGUUUGCUAAAAAAAGUAUCCAAACCUGUUACAAAGCUGAGAAAGAAAGCGACUGUUCAAGAUGAUUGUGCAGCAGCAAUUUUG